RNAcentral lists this RNase P RNA (384 nucleotides) under Halolactibacillus alkaliphilus. RNAcentral describes it as "Bacterial RNase P class B". It matches the Rfam family "Bacterial RNase P class B". Rfam says of the family: Ribonuclease P (RNase P) is a ubiquitous endoribonuclease, found in archaea, bacteria and eukarya as well as chloroplasts and mitochondria. Its best characterised activity is the generation of mature 5'-ends of tRNAs by cleaving the 5'-leader elements of precursor-tRNAs. Cellular RNase Ps are ribonucleoproteins. Lineage: Bacteria; Bacillati; Bacillota; Bacilli; Caryophanales; Bacillaceae. The record is from Rfam by way of RNAcentral.
AUGUUUUGGUAAUCGCUAUAAACGCUUGUUUAUAGAGGAAAGUCCAUGCUCACACAGGCUGCGAUGCCUGUAGUGUUCGUGCUUGAUGAAAAAAUAAAUCAAGGCAGUCACAUUUGUGAUUGACGGCAGGGAAGGACGCUAAGUCUUCGGAUAUGCGUUCAGGUACCUUGAAAGUGCCACAGUGACGAAGUCAGGCGGGAAACCGACCUGAGUGGAACGAGGUAAACCCCACGAGUGAGCAACCCAAAUUUUGGUAGGGGCAUCUUGGAUUAGGGAAUUGAACCGAAACAAGGACAUAGUGAUCUAUGUAGAUAGAUGGUUACCGCUAGAGUACGAGGCUGACCACCGUUUGUAGUGCUUUAGAACAGAACAUGGCUUAUAAAA